Molecule: ribosomal RNA, 710 nt
Filed under: uncultured delta proteobacterium
Lineage: Bacteria; Deltaproteobacteria
Description: bacterial SSU rRNA
Rfam family: Bacterial small subunit ribosomal RNA
Source: RNAcentral
CUGCAGUCGACGAGAAAGUUUCCUUCGGGAAACGAGUAGAGUGGCGCACGGGGGAGUAACGCGUAGGUAAUCUAUCCUUAUAUUUGGGAUAACAUUGGGAAACUGGGGCUAAUACCGAAUAGUCUUUUUUGCUGCUGGGCGAAGAAGUAAAGGGGGCCUCUUCAUGAAAGCUACCGUGUAGGGAUGAGCCUGCGUACCAUUAGCUAGUAGGUGAGGUAACGGCUCACCUAGGCUACGAUGGUUAGCGGGUCUGAGAGGAUGAUCCGCCACACUGGAACUGGAACACGGACCAGACUCCUACGGGAGGCAGCAGUGAGGAAUAUUGCGCAAUGGGGGAAACCCUGACGCAGCGACGCCGCGUGAGUGAGGAAGGUCUUCGGAUCGUAAAGCUCUGUCAGAAGGGAAGAAGUGUUAUAUGGUUAACACCCAUAUAAUUUGACGGUACCUUCAGAGGAAGCACCGGCUAACUCCGUGCCAGCAGCCGCGGUAAUACGGAGGGGGCGAGCGUUUUUCGGAAUUACUGGGCGUAAAGGGCGCGUAGGCGGCCGGAUUAGUCAGAUGUGAAAGUCCACGGCUCAACCGUGGAAGUGCAUUUGAAACUGUCCGGCUUGAGUAUCGGAGGGGAAAGUGGAAUUCCCGGGGUAGAGGGGAAAUUCGUAGAGAUCGGGAGGAACACCGGGGGCGAAAGCGACUUUUUGGACGAAUACUGU